RNAcentral lists this transfer-messenger RNA (348 nucleotides) under Selenomonadaceae. Its description in RNAcentral is "CAJPQU01 sp905372875 Standard tmRNA". It matches the Rfam family "transfer-messenger RNA". Rfam says of the family: Bacterial tmRNA, also known as 10Sa RNA or SsrA, is named for its dual tRNA and mRNA-like properties. Its role is to liberate the mRNA from a stalled ribosome. RNAcentral also lists the same sequence under 1 other name. Lineage: Bacteria; Bacillati; Bacillota; Negativicutes; Selenomonadales. The record is from RNAcentral.
GGGGAUGUAAUGGUCUCGACGGGGGCAGGUGGUGCAUGGGUAGCGAGCCGGGGGUCACCAUCCCGUCAGCAAGGUGAAACUUUUAUUAAACAUAAAAGCUAACGAAGACUACGCUUUGGCGGCUUGACGCCAACCUCUGCCGGUUUGUGCCUGUGCGGACAGGACAGAGGCCAGUCACAGGAUACCUGAAGGUCGUUUCUCGUAGGCCGGAAAGGGAAUUUUUUCGGGAUCGGAUCAUGGAAGCCUGCUCAUAGGCGUCUCUGGUCUUAAAACAAGUAUGAGCUUCGCUCGAAGAAGCCUGUGAAACAAUGCUUUCGGACAGGAGUUCGAUUCUCCUCAUCUCCACCA